RNAcentral lists this unclassified non-coding RNA (343 nucleotides) under soil metagenome. Its description in RNAcentral is "partial contains 5.8S ribosomal RNA, internal transcribed spacer 2, and large subunit ribosomal RNA". The stretch from base 1 to 120 matches the Rfam family "5.8S ribosomal RNA", at positions 35 to 154 of the family's 154-position model. The record is from RNAcentral.
GAUGAAGAACGUAGUGAAAUGCGAUACUUGGUGUGAAUUGCAGAAUUCAGUGAAUCAUCGAAUCUUUGAACGCACAUUGCGCCCGCUAGUAUUCUGGCGGGCAUGCCUGUCCGAGCGUCAUUUCAACCCUCAAGCCCCCGGGCUUGGUGUUGGGGAUCGGCGAGCCUCCGCGCCCGCCGUCCCCUAAAUCUAGUGGCGGUCUCGCUGUAGCUUCCUCUGCGUAGUAGCACACCUCGCACUGGGAAACAGCGCGGCCACGCCGUUAAACCCCCAACUUCUGAACGUUUGACCUCGGAUCAGGUAGGAAUACCCGCUGAACUUAAGCAUAUCAAUAAGCGGAGGA